This 1494-nucleotide ribosomal RNA is filed under the name Triticum aestivum (bread wheat). RNAcentral describes it as "partial small subunit ribosomal RNA". The record is from RNAcentral. Lineage: Eukaryota; Viridiplantae; Streptophyta; Magnoliopsida; Poales; Poaceae.
AUGAAGAGCAUUUCUUCAUUCUCCCUGCUUGUCCUCUGCCUCGCUGCACUGCAGCUGCACGCCAAUGCCUCCCACUCCCCGUCCCAGGAGGCUCAGCUCAAAAAGUUCAUCUCGUCUAGGAAGAACCGCGCCAGCAGCACCGACACGUUCCGAGUGCGUAACAUAGCUGACAGGGUUGCCGGCAGCCUGAGUGCGGACAGCACUCUUUCUGACCAGAGCUCCAUGAAGGCCGCCGACAAGAUCACGGCCUUGCCCGGGCAGCCGGAGGGCGUCGACUUCGACCAGUACGGCGGGUACGUCACCGUCGAUGCGGAGAACGGCCGCGCGCUCUUCUACUACCUUGUCGAAUCGCCUUCCGGUGCCUCGGACAAGCCACUCGUCCUGUGGCUCAACGGAGGGCCGGGAUGCUCGUCGCUCGGAUUCGGCGCAAUGCAGGAGCUCGGCCCGUUCCGCGUAACCGAGGACAACAAAACGCUCAGCAGAAACAUGAACGCAUGGAACAACGUGGCUAACGUGAUCUUCCUCGAGUCGCCCGCCGGAGUGGGUUAUUCCUACUCGAACACGUCUUCUGACUAUGAUCUCAGCGGAGACGAGAGAACAGCCGAUGACGCCUACGUGUUUCUGGUGAAAUGGCUGGAGAGGUUCCCGGAGUACAAGGACCGGGCCUUCUAUAUCUCAGGGGAGAGCUACGCCGGACACUACGUGCCGGAGCUUGCCGCCACCAUCCUACUCCACAACACAUACAACAACAGAACCGUCAUAAACCUUCAGGGCAUCUUGGUGGGAAAUCCGUACCUUGAUGCCAACAGGAAUAUUAAGGGGGCAGUUGACUACUUCUGGACCCACGCGGUGAUGUCGGACGAGGUCUAUGCCAAUAUCACCAAGAACUGCGACUUCGACAACUUGAAUGGUACAUUUACAGAUGCCGCCUGCAUGGGAGCUGCCGUGGUGUUCGACUCUGGCUACAUCGAUGGCUACAACAUAUACGCUCCGGUCUGCAUAGACGCGCCCAAUGGAAUGUAUUACCCCGCUGGCUACUUACCUGGGUAUGAUCCGUGCAGUUAUUAUCCUACGGAUGCCUACCUCAAUGAUCCAGCGGUGCAGAUAGCUUUCCACGCUAGACCGACAAAGUGGUCAGGCUGCGCAUACUUGAACUGGACAGAUGGGCCAAUGUCCAUGCUGCCAACCAUGAAAUGGUUGAUCGAAAGCAAGCUGCCGAUUUGGAUAUUCAGUGGUGAUUUUGAUUCUGUGUGCCCGCUGCCGGCGACGAGGUAUUCUAUCCAAGACAUGGCCCUCUCUGUGACCACUCCAUGGCGCCCAUGGACAGCAAAGGAGGAGGUGGGAGGCUAUGUUCAGCAGUACGCCGGGGGGUUCACAUUCCUAUCUGUGAGGGGAGCUGGCCAUAUGGUUCCAUCCUUCCAGCCUGAGAGGGCAUUGGUGAUGUUGAGCUCCUUCCUGCAAGGGGUGCUCCCACCUUACGUAGAACAGCAGUGA